RNAcentral lists this ribosomal RNA (497 nucleotides) under uncultured bacterium. Its description in RNAcentral is "partial 16S ribosomal RNA". It matches the Rfam family "Bacterial small subunit ribosomal RNA", at positions 28 to 507 of the family's 1533-position model. The record is from RNAcentral.
GAUGAACGCUGGCGGCGUGCCUAAUACAUGCAAGUCGAGCGAACAGACGAGGAGCUUGCUCCUCUGACGUUAGCGGCGGACGGGUGAGUAACACGUGGAUAACCUACCUAUAAGACUGGGAUAACUUCGGGAAACCGGAGCUAAUACCGGAUAAUAUAUUGAACCGCAUGGUUCAAUAGUGAAAUACGGUUUUGCUGUCCCUUAUAGAUGGAUCCGCGCCGCAUUAGCUAGUUGGUAAGGUAACGGCUUACCAAGGCAACGAUGCGUAGCCGACCUGAGAGGGUGAUCGGCCACACUGGAACUGAGACACGGUCCAGACUCCUACGGGAGGCAGCAGUAGGGAAUCUUCCGCAAUGGGCGAAAGCCUGACGGAGCAACGCCGCGUGAGUGAUGAAGGUCUUCGGAUCGUAAAACUCUGUUAUUAGGGAAGAACAAAUGUGUAAGUAACUAUGCACGUCUUGACGGUACCUAAUCAGAAAGCCACGGCUAACUACGUG